CAGGAUUUGAUAUUCCAAGAUAAAGCAGAAUACAGCACUAUAAUUACAGCACCUAAGAAAUAAGCCAGCUAAAGUAGUUUGGUGAAUCAGGAGACAAGAAUUAGAUGACCUCUGGGUUCCCAGGAACAAAUCCUGAACAGAAUGGAAACCAUUUGCAAUGAAGAACUUUCUGUAUGAAUCUAACUGCAAAAUGAAUGAAAAUAAUCAGCCCUUACUGUCAUGUAAUGAAAAAUGAAAGGACUAGUUGUGUACCUCAUGGAAACUUUUUAAGAAAAUGCCAGCUGAGAUGAUAAGUUACCAGUGCAGAAAUGUAGGAAAAGAUGUGUGACCCUAAGCUGUGCAAUUAAUCAAGCUAAUAAACUGUAAUUUUUUUUAUGAAGAAUAUCCCACUGGAGACUCCAUUCUUUUACUUAUUACUGGCCAGAUACAUUGAACUAUUCUGUUUGCUGUAAUAGUUUCAGUUUAAUUCCCAUCAGAUUGAAGAUCAUUUUUAUUACAAAAAGCAUAAUCCUUAGGCAGACAUUCACCACAGUCUAAUUCCCAUGUAAUGCGAAGGUGUAGCGAAGUCUAGAGCCCAACCAUCUGAAAACUGGUGUCACUGCCACUGGUGUCUCAACUUAUUAAUAUUACCUGUUGUCAAUAAGACAGCACAAAUCAUUCUUCAAAAUCACAACACUGACAUUAAGGUAUACUGUAGUGCCAGGAAUACAAAGCUGCCUCCCCCCUCCCUCACGUCCCUCCUACACUUUAACCCCUUAAGGACUGAGCCAAAUGUACAAGUUGUGAACAAAACAAAACGUAAACAAAACCUGGCAUUUGCGCUAUAUGUCUGUCCAACCGUAAUUCACCUCUUUCAUAUUAAAUGCA
Pelobates fuscus (common spadefoot toad) is the source of this 867-nucleotide long non-coding RNA. RefSeq lists it as uncharacterized. The transcript is spliced from 3 exons. Lineage: Eukaryota; Metazoa; Chordata; Amphibia; Anura; Pelobatidae. The record is from RefSeq and is a predicted model, not a curated record.